CAGUUGGAAACGACUGCUAAUACCGCAUAAUGUCUACGGACCAAAGGGGGCUUCGGCUCUCGCCUUUAGAUUGGCCCAAGUGGGAUUAGCUAGUUGGUGAGGUAAUGGCUCACCAAGGCGACGAUCCCUAGCUGGUUUGAGAGGAUGAUCAGCCACACUGGGACUGAGACACGGCCCAGACUCCUACGGGAGGCAGCAGUGGGGAAUAUUGCACAAUGGGCGCAAGCCUGAUGCAGCCAUGCCGCGUGUGUGAAGAAGGCCUUCGGGUUGUAAAGCACUUUCAGUCAGGAGGAAAGGUUAGUAGUUAAUACCUGCUAGCUGUGACGUUACUGACAGAAGAAGCACCGGCUAACUCCGUGCCAGCAGCCGCGGUAAUACGGAGGGUGCGAGCGUU
RNAcentral lists this ribosomal RNA (394 nucleotides) under Pseudoalteromonas sp. MA-19. RNAcentral's name for it is "bacterial SSU rRNA". It matches the Rfam family "Bacterial small subunit ribosomal RNA", at positions 147 to 542 of the family's 1533-position model. Lineage: Bacteria; Pseudomonadati; Pseudomonadota; Gammaproteobacteria; Alteromonadales; Pseudoalteromonadaceae. The record is from RNAcentral.